Non-coding RNA from Planctomycetes bacterium GWF2_50_10, 72 nucleotides. Lineage: Bacteria; Pseudomonadati; Planctomycetota. The record is from Rfam.
GCCAACGUAGCUCAACGGUAGAGCUCUGGUUUUGUAAACCAGGGGUUAUCGGUUCGAAUCCGAUCGUUGGCU